This 472-nucleotide ribosomal RNA is filed under the name uncultured Pelotomaculum sp. RNAcentral describes it as "bacterial SSU rRNA". It matches the Rfam family "Bacterial small subunit ribosomal RNA", at positions 910 to 1382 of the family's 1533-position model. The record is from RNAcentral. Lineage: Bacteria; Bacillati; Bacillota; Clostridia; Eubacteriales; Desulfotomaculaceae.
UUGACGGGGGCCCGCACAAGCAGUGGAGUAUGUGGUUAAUUCGACGCAACGCGAAGAACCUUACCAGGGCUUGACAUCCCCUGACCGCGUAUGAAAGUACGUUUUCACCUCGGGUGACAGGGAGACAGGUGGUGCAUGGUUGUCGUCAGCUCGUGUCGUGAGAUGUUGGGUUAAGUCCCGCAACGAGCGCAACCCCUACGUUUAGUUGCUAACGCGUGAAGGCGAGCACUCUAGACGAACUGCCGUUGACAAAACGGAGGAAGGUGGGAUGACGUCAAAUCAUCAUGCCCCUUAUGUUCUGGGCUACACACGUGCUACAAUGGCCGGUACAGACGGACGCAAAGCCGCGAGGUGGAGCAAAUCCUAAAAAGCCGGUCUCAGUUCGGAUUGCAGGCUGCAAUUCGCCUGCAUGAAGUCGGAAUCGCUAGUAAUCGCAGGUCAGCAUACUGCGGUGAAUACGUUCCCGGGCCUU